CUGUUGGUGGUAUAGUGGUGCGCAUAGCUUCCUUCCGAGCACUUGAUCUGGGUUUGAUUCCUGGCCAACACA
This is a non-coding RNA of Pangasius djambal, 72 nucleotides long. Lineage: Eukaryota; Metazoa; Chordata; Actinopteri; Siluriformes; Pangasiidae. The record is from the annotation of a GenBank genome assembly.